GCUCCUGUGGCCAAGUGGUUAGAGCGUCCGCCUCGGAUGCGGGAGGUCGCGGUUUCGCACCCCGGCUGGGUCA
Potamilus streckersoni is the source of this 73-nucleotide non-coding RNA. Lineage: Eukaryota; Metazoa; Mollusca; Bivalvia; Unionida; Unionidae. The record is from the annotation of a GenBank genome assembly.